Long non-coding RNA from Triticum aestivum (bread wheat), 3106 nucleotides. RefSeq lists it as uncharacterized. The transcript has 9 exons. The record is from RefSeq and is a predicted model, not a curated record. NCBI's taxonomy places the organism in Eukaryota, Viridiplantae, Streptophyta, Magnoliopsida, Poales, Poaceae.
GUUCCCUUCCCUCCCCGCACUUCCCGUCGCUGCCGCCAAUCCACUACCGCCCACCGCCCACCGCCCUCGAGAGGGAAAAGCCUCGGCCCGUCCACCGACGCAGCAUUCCACACCAAAAGCCCAGGUAAAUUGGCUUCGUCUCCCCGCUCUGCGGCGAUGGAGGAAGGAGGAGGUGCAGAGCACCGCGAAUUCCAUCGCCACAGCCUCGCGCAGCCGCGUCGUCCUUCUCCGGCAUCGCGCGAUCCCUAGCAGACAGAUUAGUCAACAAAGAAAAAUUAAGUGGUGGAGAUCUUCCUAAAAUGAAAUCAAGACGAUGAGAUAAGAAUGGAGAUUUAAUGUGGUUUGUUGGAGAUGCCAAAGGUAGGAGAUGAAGGACAGUUGGAAGGGGAUAAUGGAGGACAAUUAUAGCGUCACUAGAGCCUGGGGCGGAGAGGUAGGGGCUGUCUGUGCAGGUUUGCAGUGCAGCUGGGCCAAACAUCGCUUACAGUUUAAGCUGUAGGCUGUUAUAAAGUAAAAGCUGCGGAGGUACAGUUUCGGCCACUGUGUGCAGGAAGAUGAGAAGUCAAGCAGUAGCAAUUGGCGCAUGUAGGUUCCGCGGGGCACUCAGCGAGAUUCAAUCUUCACGUGACAUUUAGGCCGACCUUUUAUUAUGGAUCGCUGGGGGGAAGAAUCGUAAAAGUUUCAGGUGUCAACAAAUUGUGUCGCUGCGGAAAAGAGGGAUCAGACCAAAGCAGUGGCCUUGGUAGGGCAAGGUAUUAUCCUCGAGGACACUAAGGUUCAUGCCCAAGCAUCCAUAUUUUAAUGGUUUAGUCGGGAUAUUUUCUGAGUUGACAUUUGCAUCUCCCAGAGGGAAGACCAGGGCGUAGGCAUGCCACCUUUCGCGGCCGUGGGGGGUUGAAAAUGGCUGCUCCUAUUGGAUGAUGGGAAAAGGCACUACAAGAUAACGUCUUGGGGCCUACCGCCGGCGACCACAUCGCAUCGGGGCAUGCCUUGCGGUACCACACGCACUGAUGACUGCCAGUAAUCACUAAGCAGUGCAUUAAGGAUGUAACAUCAGCUCAUUAAUUAAGCCACUGAAUGUCUCUAGUCGCCGGGAUUCAUAGAAGAGGGAGUAUAUUCGUCAACUUGAAGAGGGAGGGGAUGAGAAGUGACCUUGCUUCCUUUAAAUCUUGUCAUGAGGGUACACGAUGAAGGCUAUGCCUUUCUUCAUAUUUAUGCUGGCAAAUCUCUCGUUUUUCAUUCAAGUUCUUAGAUUUUUACGAAGAGUUUUUGUACAUGAUGCUGAGUCAUACGUUAAUAUGUACUCCCUCUGUCUCAUAAUAUAAGAGAGUUUUUGACACUACACUAAUGUCAUAAACACUCUUAUAUUAUGGAAUGGAGGGAGUAUAAGAGAGGGAUUGUGACGAGUAAUGGCAUCAGCACAUAGUUAAUUAAGUCAACAUCGGCCCAUGAACUAUGUGACAAGGGUAUGUGGAAUAUUGAAUAUCCGACCACUCAAAAAUCAAGAUGUACUAGUUUGUACCCUUGAAGAUCAAGACAUGCAAAGAGAAUAUGUGGCUUAUUUCUUUGAUCUUUGGGCACAACUGAACAGUAUAGUUGCAUUGCAUCACCUUUCAGGUGUGUACGUAUGUGGUUUGCUAGCAUUAUUGGUAUUCAACUAUUCAUGCUCAAUCCAAUCUGAAUUAUCUCCAUCUCUCUUAUAUAUUAUUGCCACUGUGUUUAUAGCUGAUUAGCCUCCUUGAUGUUUUCUUACACAUUGGUUUGCAUCGAUGUAGGACGGUCAAUGCCGGCAGUGUAUAAUAUACAAAACAGAUAGGGGGCAGCAAAAACCAUAGACAGCGGAGGGACCAUCCUGGAUGGUUUCAUGGAUGCUGGACAGUUGCAGAUAAGUAUCCUUUUAUUCUAUGGUAUACACGAUAGCCAGCCAGGAGAUCAUGAGAUCAAACCAGAUACUCUUGGCUGUGUGAAUUCGUUGGCGGAAAGUAGCUUGAUUUAUCCAGAUUUAAUUCCCAAUAGACAAAAAAAAGAAAGAAAGAAAAUGGACUAAAAACAUAAAAUUAUAGGGCCUCGUUUGAGAUACUAGCUAGAGUAUUGCCAUACUAUGAACAGUGCUAGGUUUAAUUCCGUUUUGGGUGGGAUAUUUGUACUAUGUACGACUGCCAAAAGAAUAUAAUAUUAUCGACAAUUAAGUAAAUAUGCGUACUGUGGUGUCAACUGUUGCUGAUUGGAACUACUACUUGGCAGCAGCAGCAUGGGUACUACUCCCGGUACUACUUAAAACCAUGGGAGGGCUCAGCACUGGAGUACGGCGGUCGCUCACCGGAUCCAAGAAGAAAAAAUCUCUCCCAUUUCCUGUUGCGUCCGGAGGUUUUGUUUGGGUUUCCUUUCGGAUUUUUGGGUUGUUUGCUGCUUUUGUGUCGGAAGUUGUUCUUCGGUUGUGCAAUCUGUGAAGUAAUGUUAGCUCCUGGUGUGGGGAGGCCCUCGAGAGAUUGACAGAAGAGAGUGAGCACAUGGCGUGAUGCCGGCAUAACAUGUAUGCCGUCUUCGCCGCGUGCUCACUCCUCUUUCUGUCAGCCUCUUUCUCUCAGGAGUUUACGUUACAUUCAGAUCCACUGGUGGGUAUGUAGAACUAAUUUGAUUCAAUUUCAAUUCAAUAGUUCAUAAUUUUCCACACAAAAAAGAAGGUUAACCCCUGCUUAUGAGAGGAACUCAGCCACAAAAGAAAGACAGAACACGCAUGCGGCAUGUACUCUGGCUGUUCUCCGACUUUACCAUGCCACUUCCUUAUCUCUUUAGAUGUGUGCGCACGCAAAAAAAUAAAAUAAAAUAAAUUGCUCUGUUGUUUUGAUCUUUUCAGUCAAGUUGCUCCUGGGAACUACUACCGAGGAGAGUGAUACGGAUGCUAGUGGUAAUUGUAAGGAGUGGCAGCUGUAGGCUUGUAGUACUGGAAUAAAUGAUUGGAUUUGUUACUUGUUUUUUUCAUCCCCAAAUUGUUUUAUCUUCUCCCUUUGCAGUUGUACUCGCCUUGGGAGCUGAAUCAUGGAGAUGCUGCCGGUACACUGCAACAUGCACCCUCUCUCUCUCUCACCCUAACAACCCCCUUCUU